UCCGUAAGCGGGUAAUUAAGUCAGAGGUGAAAUCCCACAGCUUAACUGUGGAACUGCCUUAGAUACUGGUUAUCUUGAGUUUUAGUGAAGUAGAUAGAAUGUGUAGUGUAGCGGUGAAAUGCAUAGAUAUUACACAGAAUACCGAUUGCGAAGGCAGUCUACUAACUAACAACUGACGCUAAUGGACGAAAGCGUGGGGAGCGAACAGGAUUAGAUACCCUGGUAGUCC
Molecule: ribosomal RNA, 229 nt
Filed under: uncultured bacterium
Lineage: Bacteria
Description: partial 16S ribosomal RNA
Rfam family: Bacterial small subunit ribosomal RNA
Source: RNAcentral